This 806-nucleotide ribosomal RNA is filed under the name uncultured Chromatiaceae bacterium. RNAcentral describes it as "bacterial SSU rRNA". It matches the Rfam family "Bacterial small subunit ribosomal RNA", at positions 8 to 796 of the family's 1533-position model. Lineage: Bacteria; Pseudomonadati; Pseudomonadota; Gammaproteobacteria; Chromatiales; Chromatiaceae. The record is from RNAcentral.
AGAGUUUGAUCCUGGCUCAGAUUGAACGCUGGCGGCAUGCCUAACACAUGCAAGUCGAACGGUAACAGGCCGCAAGGUGCUGACGAGUGGCGGACGGGUGAGUAAUACGUAGGUAUCUGCCCUGGAGUGGGGGAUAACCCGGGGAAACUCGGGCUAAUACCGCAUACGCUCUUUUAUCGUUGAGAUAGGAGAGGAAAGCGAGGGACCGAAAGGCCUCGCGCUAGAGGAUGAGCCUACGCCCGAUUAGCUAGUUGGUAGGGUAAAGGCCUACCAAGGCGACGAUCGGUAGCUGGUCUGAGAGGAUGGCCAGCCACACUGGGACUGAGACACGGCCCAGACUCCUACGGGAGGCAGCAGUGGGGAAUAUUGGACAAUGGGGGAAACCCUGAUCCAGCGAUGCCGCGUGGGUGAAGAAGGCCUGCGGGUUGUAAAGCCCUUUCAGUGGGAAAGAAAAACGGGGUGUGAACAGCGCUUCGUCUUGACGUUACCCACAGAAGAAGCACCGGCUAACUCCGUGCCAGCAGCCGCGGUAAUACGGAGGGUGCGAGCGUUAAUCGGAAUUACUGGGCGUAAAGGGCGCGUAGGCGGUUGGGUAAGUCGGGUGUGAAAGCCCUGGGCUUAACCUGGGAAUGGCAUUCGAGACCACCUAGCUAGAGUCUGGUAGAGGGAAGUGGAAUUUCCGGUGUAGCGGUGAAAUGUGUAGAUAUCGGAAGGAACACCAGUGGCGAAGGCGACUUCCUGGACCAAGACUGACGCUGANGCGCGAAAGCGUGGGGAUCAAACAGGAUUAGAUACCCCAGUAGUCC